Molecule: ribosomal RNA, 917 nt
Filed under: uncultured archaeon
Lineage: Archaea
Description: partial 16S ribosomal RNA
Rfam family: Archaeal small subunit ribosomal RNA
Source: RNAcentral
UUCCGGUUGAUCCUGCCAGAGGUUACUGCUAUCGGUGUUCGCCUAAGCCAUGCGAGUCAUAUGUAGCAAUACAUGGCGUACUGCUCAGUAACACGUGGAUAACCUGCCCUUGGGACCGGCAUAACCCCGGGAAACUGGGGAUAAUUCCGGAUAACGCAUAUUUGCUGGAAUGCUUUAUGCGUCAAAAGGAUUCGUCUGCCCAAGGACGGGUCUGCGGCCUAUCAGGUAGUAGUGGGUGUAAUGUACCUACUAGCCAGCGACGGGUACGGGUUGUGAGAGCAAGAGCCCGGAGAUGGAUUCUGAGACAUGAAUCCAGGCCCUACGGGGCGCAGCAGGCGCGAAAACUUUACACUGCGGGAAACCGCGAUAAGGGGACCCCGAGUGCCAGCACCUAGUGCUGGCUGUCCAGCUGUUCAAAUAACAGUUGUUAGCAAGGGCCGGGCAAGACCGGUGCCAGCCGCCGCGGUAACACCGGCGGCCCGAGUGGUAGCCGUUAUUAUUGGGUUUAAAGGGUCCGUAGCCGGCCUAUUAAGUCUCUUGGGAAAUCUGGCGACUCAAUCGUCAGGCGUUCAAGAGAUACUGGUAGGCUUGGGACCGGGAGAGGUGGGAGGUACUCCAGGGGUAGGGGUGAAAUCUCGUAAUCCUUGGGGGACCACCGAUGGCGAAGGCAUCCCACCAGAACGGGUCCGACGGUGAGGGACGAAAGCUGGGGGCACGAACCGGAUUAGAUACCCGGGUAGUCCCAGCCGUAAACGAUGCUCGCUAGGUGUCAGGUGCGGUGCGACCGCAUCUGGUGCCGCAGUGAAAACUUGAAGCGAGUCACCUGGGAAGUACGGUCGCAAGGCUGAAACUUAAAGGAAUUGGCGGGGGAGCACUACAACGGGUGGAGCCUGCGGUUCAAUUGGAUUCAACGCCGG